Sinocyclocheilus grahami is the source of this 314-nucleotide non-coding RNA. Lineage: Eukaryota; Metazoa; Chordata; Actinopteri; Cypriniformes; Cyprinidae. The record is from the annotation of a RefSeq genome assembly.
CACUGACACACACAACAAUCUUCAUCAACAUGACCUUCAUCAUCAUCUUCAUCUGGACUCUCACAGCGUUUGCUCAAGAGAGUAGAGGACAGAUCAGCGUCACUCAGAGUCCCUCAACGACAGCAGCUCAACCAGAAGAAACAGUCAAAAUCAGCUGUAGAACCAACAAAGAUGCACUCCUUUGGGGAGGGAGUUAUUAUUUCAGCUGGUACUUACAGAGAUCUGGAGAAGCACCUAAACUCCUGAUUUAUUAUGCAAACCGCCUCCAGCCAGGAACUCCAUCUAGAUUCAGUGGCAGUGGAUCUAACAGAUGA